UCAAAACAUCGGUUCCCGUAUGAUCAUUGCAGUUAAGCAACAUCCAGCCUGGUCAGUACCUAGAUGGGUGACCACUUGGGGAUACCAGAUGCUGUAAU
Molecule: non-coding RNA, 98 nt
Organism: Acanthosepion pharaonis
Lineage: Eukaryota; Metazoa; Mollusca; Cephalopoda; Sepiida; Sepiidae
Source: the annotation of a GenBank genome assembly